AUCAGUCACCGAGGAGGGGAAAUGUCGACCUCCGGUGAGUGACCAGACCGAAGAAGGAGGAGGUGUUCGGUGGUUUUCUAUCCAUCGUUGAGAAGGGGAGAAACACAGAGGCAGAAGAGCUGCCGUCGAUGGUCGCAGAAAAUCGAUGGGGGAAAAAUUGUUCUCUUGUUGUUUGACAGGAAAAGAAGAAGGAAAAAUAAAGGGGAAGCUGUUGUUCUUUUUUGUUGCAGGUGAGCAAAAGAACAAGAACAAAAUUGUUCUUGGCUGGAAACGAAGAAUAAGGGGAAGAAUAACAACAGCAAGGGAAAAGGGCUGCUAUCCUCUUGAUUUCACAUGUAAACAACACUCCAGUGGUGUGUUCUUUUAUAUUCAAUCUUAGUCAAUACUUUAACUUCAAUUUGGUUGUUAAUUUACGCAAUGUCAAAAACUCCCAUUAUGUAUGUACUUGAGAAGAGAAAGAGUGUGGGAGAGUAGAAGGAAACGUGAUUGGUGAUUGUGUGUACCUUGAAUAAGAUUUAGAAGUUAUAAGAAAAUGAUUUUGAUGAGA
Molecule: long non-coding RNA, 547 nt
Organism: Lactuca sativa (garden lettuce)
Lineage: Eukaryota; Viridiplantae; Streptophyta; Magnoliopsida; Asterales; Asteraceae
Source: RefSeq, a predicted model, not a curated record